CACGUAGGCACCAAGCGUUAUCCGGAUUUAUUGGGCGUAAAGAGCUCGUAGGCGGUUCGGUAAGUCGGGUGUGAAAACUCUGGGCUCAACCCAGAGAGGCCACCCGAUACUGCUGUGACUAGAGUGCGGUAGGGGAGCGGGGAAUUCCUGGUGUAGCGGUGAAAUGCGUAGAUAUCGAGAGGAACACCAGUGGCGAAGGCGGCCUUCUGGACGAUGACUGACGCUGAGACGCGAAAGCGUGGGGAGCAAACAGG
RNAcentral lists this ribosomal RNA (254 nucleotides) under uncultured bacterium. RNAcentral describes it as "partial 16S ribosomal RNA". It matches the Rfam family "Bacterial small subunit ribosomal RNA", at positions 524 to 776 of the family's 1533-position model. The record is from RNAcentral.